AAACAGCCCCCUAUGUUUUGAUUCUUUGGCAGUUUUGGACCCCCAAGGCAAAAAAAUAAAAUAAAAAUUGACACGUGGCACCUCACUUAGGGUGCCACGUCAGCGUUGACCGAGUCAACAAUGGACUGGGGGGUCCAAAACUGCCAAAGAAUCAAAACAUAGGGGGCUGUUU
Molecule: microRNA precursor, 172 nt
Organism: Medicago truncatula (barrel medic)
Lineage: Eukaryota; Viridiplantae; Streptophyta; Magnoliopsida; Fabales; Fabaceae
Rfam family: MIR2619 microRNA precursor family
Source: Rfam